CCCAAACACAAUAUUAAAUUUCAGCAAUAUACACAUUCCAACACAAGUCGGUUGGCAAACCAAAGGGCAAAGUUUUCCAUGCCACAUCUUACCAGAUAAAUUAGUAAAUAUUAAAAUCAAAGCAAACAAACAUAUAAUCCAAUAAAUCAGAGAUAAUAAUCUUGAUCCCUGAUUUUCAAGGGCACUUGGGUCCUCCUCUCUUGGUCUUCCAGUUGUUAUAGCAGGGACAGACUCCCUUGUUCCCGUAGAACCCCGGCGGCACACAGAGGCAAGCAGUGCAGCACUUGUUGCAGAAGAACAGGCAUGGCUUCUUGUACUGUGUCUGCGAGCAACGUCUAGAGCACUGACUCGGGCAUUGAUAACUCCGAAGGCUUCCGGGGCCACUCUGAGUCAAUUGGUAAACUGCAUCAGCAUGUGCAUGUUGGGCAGUCCUGUCACCCAGGGACUCACAGUGGACCACCAUAAUGGCAAGGAGGGCAAUGGCCAGGAAGACAAAAAGCUUACCUGUUGCCAUUGCUAAUCAAUGGAGAGAGGAGGAGGAGAGAGA
RNAcentral lists this unclassified non-coding RNA (547 nucleotides) under Hevea brasiliensis (rubber tree). Lineage: Eukaryota; Viridiplantae; Streptophyta; Magnoliopsida; Malpighiales; Euphorbiaceae. The record is from RNAcentral.